CUCAAAGGAAUAGACGGGGACCCGCACAAGUGGUGGAGCAUGUGGUUUAAUUCGAAGAUACACGAAGAACCUUACCUGGCCUUGACAUGGUAGGAACCCUUAAGAGAUUAGGGGGUGCUAGCUUGCUAGAACCUACACACAGGUGCUGCACGGCUGUCGUCAGCUCGUGUCGUGAGAUGUUGGGUUAAGUCCCGCAACGAGCGCAACCCUCGUCCUUAGUUGCUAACAGUUCGGCUGAGCACUCUAAGGAGACUGCCUUCGCAAGGAGGAGGAAGGUGAGGACGACGUCAAGUCAUCAUGGCCCUUACGGCCAGGGCUACACACGUGCUACAAUGGGGCGUACAAAGAGCUGCAAUACCGCGAGGUGGAGCCAAUCUCUUAAAGCGUCUCUCAGUUCGGAUUGUUCUCUGCAACUCGAGAACAUGAAGCUGGAAUCACUAGUAAUCGUAGAUCAGCUAUGCUACGGUGAAUACGUUCCCGGGUCUUGUACUCACCGCCCGUCACACCAUGGGAGUUGAUUUCACCCGAAAUCGGGAUGCCAAACUGGUACCGCUUACGGUGGAAUUAGCGACUGGGGUGAA
Molecule: ribosomal RNA, 581 nt
Filed under: uncultured Campylobacterota bacterium
Lineage: Bacteria; Pseudomonadati; Campylobacterota
Description: bacterial SSU rRNA
Rfam family: Bacterial small subunit ribosomal RNA
Source: RNAcentral